Molecule: ribosomal RNA, 500 nt
Filed under: uncultured bacterium
Lineage: Bacteria
Description: partial 16S ribosomal RNA
Rfam family: Bacterial small subunit ribosomal RNA
Source: RNAcentral
AUUGAACGCUGGCGGCAGGCCUAACACAUGCAAGUCGAGCGGCAGCGGGACCUUCGGGUUGCCGGCGAGCGGCGGACGGGUGAGUAAUGCCUAGGAAUCUGCCUGUUAGUGGGGGAUAACGCGGGGAAACUCGCGCUAAUACCGCAUACGUCCUACGGGGGAAAGCGGGGGCUCUUCGGACCUCGCGCUAACAGAUGAGCCUAGGUCGGAUUAGCUAGUUGGUGGGGUAAUGGCCCACCAAGGCGACGAUCCGUAACUGGCCUGAGAGGAUGAUCAGUCACACUGGAACUGAGACACGGUCCAGACUCCUACGGGAGGCAGCAGUGGGGAAUAUUGGACAAUGGGCGAAAGCCUGAUCCAGCCAUGCCGCGUGUGUGAAGAAGGUCUUCGGAUUGUAAAGCACUUUAAGUCGGGAGGAAGGGCUGUAGGCUAAUACCUUGCAGUUUUGACGUUACCGACAGAAUAAGCACCGGCUAACUUCGUGCCAGCCGCCGCCGUAA